GAGUUUGAUCCUGGCUCAGGAUGAACGCUGGCGGCGUGCUUAACACAUGCAAGUCGAACGGAGUACCCUCGAAGGAGUUUUCGGACAACUGAGAGGACUACUUAGUGGCGGACGGGUGAGUAACGCGUGAGUAACCUGCCUUGGAGUGGGGAAUAACAGCUGGAAACAGCUGCUAAUACCGCAUGAUGCAGUUGGGCCGCAUGGCUCUGACUGCCAAAGAUUUAUCGCUCUGAGAUGGACUCGCGUCUGAUUAGCUGGUUGGUGGGGUAACGGCUCACCAAGGCGACGAUCAGUAGCCGGACUGAGAGGUUGCCGGCCACAUUGGGACUGAGACACGGCCCAGACUCCUACGGGAGGCAGCAGUGGGGAAUAUUGGGCAAUGGGCGCAAGCCUGACCCAGCAACGCCGCGUGAAGGAAGAAGGC
RNAcentral lists this ribosomal RNA (424 nucleotides) under uncultured microorganism. RNAcentral's name for it is "bacterial SSU rRNA". It matches the Rfam family "Bacterial small subunit ribosomal RNA", at positions 9 to 415 of the family's 1533-position model. The record is from RNAcentral.